UCCAUCCCGACAGCACCUGUGCCGCUCGACUCCCUGCCGGGUAGGUCCAUCCCGACAGCACCUGUGCUACUCGACUCCCCGCCGGCUUUAGGGAAUCGGAAGAGAAGGCUGGACGUGCAGCUCACACCUGUGAUCCCAGCACUUUGGGAGGAGGCCGAGGCGGGAGGAUUGCUUGAGCUCAGGAGUUUGAGACCAGCCUGGGCAACAUAGUGAGACCUCAUCUCUAAAAUAAAUAAAAGACAAUCGGAAAAGAA
Pan troglodytes (chimpanzee) is the source of this 254-nucleotide long non-coding RNA. RefSeq lists it as uncharacterized. The transcript is spliced from 2 exons. NCBI's taxonomy places the organism in Eukaryota, Metazoa, Chordata, Mammalia, Primates, Hominidae. The record is from RefSeq and is a predicted model, not a curated record.